GCUCAACCCUCUCCUAGCAUCUCCAGGUGUAGCAUGGUCCAGGUUCUUCUGUGCUUUUAUCAUAUCCGAAUUAAGCCUAUCAAUUUCAGAUGAGAGGUCCCCUUCUUUCUUCCAUAAAGCCUUCCGUUUAUCUUGUAGUUCAUCCCUCUGUCUCCUUAAACUACUAAUGUCUUCUUGGCUCUUUGGGAUGAGUAACUCUUGCUUCUUCAAUUCAGCUCUCCGUUCUUCCAUGUGCAUUUCCAACUUAUUCCCUUCAUCUUUAAGCUGCUCGAUUUCGUCUUGUAGCUUCUUCUCCUGUGCUACAUUUGUGGAAAGAACGCGUUGCAGAUCAUCAGUUUCUUU
RNAcentral lists this unclassified non-coding RNA (342 nucleotides) under Hevea brasiliensis (rubber tree). The record is from RNAcentral. Lineage: Eukaryota; Viridiplantae; Streptophyta; Magnoliopsida; Malpighiales; Euphorbiaceae.